Molecule: long non-coding RNA, 201 nt
Filed under: Elaeis guineensis (African oil palm)
Lineage: Eukaryota; Viridiplantae; Streptophyta; Magnoliopsida; Arecales; Arecaceae
Description: long non-coding RNA (EGUI_LNC001226)
Source: RNAcentral
CGUGAUGCCCUCCCAGCACUCCACUGCUAUCCCAUCAGCGCUGGCAUUUGUGAGGGCCAUGAGCGGUCCCCCCAUCAUCUUCCGCUAGGCUAUCUACGCCAUGGCCUCAACGGCAUCCAUGGAGCGUAACAAUUAAAUAUUGGAUGCGCUAGCCAACACAACAGCAGUAGUAGGGCAUGGUGGAACUCAUCGUCACCAUCA